AGAGUUUGAUCCUGGCUCAGGAUGAACGCUAGCGGCAGGCUUAAUACAUGCAAGUCGUGGGGCAGCGCGGGUAGCAAUACCUGGCGGCGACCGGCAAACGGGUGAGGAACAUGUACGCAACCUUCCUUUAACUGGAGAAUAGCCCCUCGAAAGAGGGAUUAAUACUCCGUAACAUAAUGAAGUGGCAUCACUUUAUUAUUAUAGCUUCGGCGGUUAAGAUGGGCGUGCACCUGAUUAGAUAGUUGGCGGGGUAACGGCCACCAAGUCAGCGAUCAGUAACUGGUGUGAGAGCACGACCAGUCACACGGGCACUGAGACACGGGCCCGACUCCUACGGGAGGCAGCAGUAAGGAAUAUUGGUCAAUGGACGCAAGUCUGAACCAGCCAUGCCGCGUGGAGGAUUAAGGCCCUCUGGGUUGUAAACUCCUUUUAUCUGGGAAGAAAUGUUUCGAUUCUUCGGAACUUGACGGUACAGAGGAAUAAGCACCGGCUAACUCCGUGCCAGCAGCCGCGGUAUACGGAGGGUGCAAGCGUUAUCCGGAUUCACUGGGUUUAAAGGGUGCGUAGGCGGGCAGGUAAGUCAGUGGUGAAAUCUCCGAGCUUAACUCGGAAACUGCCGUUGAUACUAUUUGUCUUGAAUAUUGUGGAGGUAAGCGGAAUAUGUCAUGUAGCGGUGAAAUGCUUAGAUAUGACAUAGAACACCAAUUGCGAAGGCAGCUUACUACACAAUAUUGACGCUGAGGCACGAAAGCGUGGGGAUCAAACAGGAUUAGAACCCUGGUAGUCCACGCCCUAAACGAUGAUUACUCGACAUACGCGAUACACUGUGUGUGUCUGAGCGAAAGCAUUAAGUAAUCCACCUGGGAAGUACGAUCGCAAGAUUGAAACUCAAAUGAAUUGACGG
Molecule: ribosomal RNA, 904 nt
Filed under: uncultured bacterium
Lineage: Bacteria
Description: bacterial SSU rRNA
Rfam family: Bacterial small subunit ribosomal RNA
Source: RNAcentral